GAUGAACGCUGGCGGCGUGCCUAAUACAUGCAAGUCGAGCGAACAGACGAGGAGCUCGCUCCUCUGACGUUAGCGGCGGACGGGUGAGUAACACGUGGAUAACCUACCUAUAAGACUGGGAUAACUUCGGGAAACCGGAGCUAAUACCGGAUAACAUGUUGAACCGCAUGGUUCAACAGUGAAAGACGGUUUUGCUGUCACUUAUAGAUGGAUCCGCGUCGCAUUAGCUAGUUGGUAAGGUAACGGCUUACCAAGGCAACGAUGCGUAGCCGACCUGAGAGGGUGAUCGGCCACACUGGAACUGAGACACGGUCCAGACUCCUACGGGAGGCAGCAGUAGGGAAUCUUCCGCAAUGGGCGAAAGCCUGACGGAGCAACGCCGCGUGAGUGAAGAAGGUCUUCGGAUCGUAAAACUCUGUUAUUAGGGAAGAACAAAUGGGUAAGUAACUAUGCACGUCUUGACGGUACCUGAUCAGAAAGCCACGGCUAACUACGUG
RNAcentral lists this ribosomal RNA (497 nucleotides) under uncultured bacterium. RNAcentral's name for it is "partial 16S ribosomal RNA". It matches the Rfam family "Bacterial small subunit ribosomal RNA", at positions 28 to 507 of the family's 1533-position model. The record is from RNAcentral.